This 497-nucleotide ribosomal RNA is filed under the name uncultured bacterium. RNAcentral's name for it is "partial 16S ribosomal RNA". It matches the Rfam family "Bacterial small subunit ribosomal RNA", at positions 28 to 507 of the family's 1533-position model. The record is from RNAcentral.
GAUGAACGCUGGCGGCGUGCCUAAUACAUGCAAGUCGAGCGAACAGACGAGGAGCUUGCUCCUCUGACGUUAGCGGCGGACGGGUGAGUAACACGUGGACAACCUACCUAUAAGACUGGGAUAACUUCGGGAAACCGGAGCUAAUACCGGAUAAUAUAUUGAACCGCAUGGUUCAAUAGUGAAAGACGGUUUUGCUGUCACUUAUAGAUGGAUCCGCGCCGCAUUAGCUAGUUGGUAAGGUAACGGCUUACCAAGGCAACGAUGCGUAGCCGACCUGAGAGGGUGAUCGGCCCCACUGGAACUGAGACACGGUCCAGACUCCUACGGGAGGCAGCAGUAGGGAAUCUUCCGCAAUGGGGGGGAGCAUGAUGGAGCAACGCCGCGUGAGUGAUGAAGGUCUUCGGAUCGUAAAACUCUGUUAUUAGGGAAGAACAAAUGUGUAAGUAACUAUGCACGUCUUGACGGUACCUGAUCAGAAAGCCACGGCUAACUACGUG